GACACGCACGCAAACAAACGACAGGGCGAGCGAGCGAGGGAGGGAGCUCGGCAGCUCGCUGUCCUGUGUAUAAAAUCCCCCACCCACCCGUGGCCACUGGCCAUCCACUGCAAGCCUAUCGUAUUGGCGCGAGAGCACCAUUGCCGAAGAGUGGGAGAGUCACUCGAUCAGCAGAGGAGAAGCCUCUUCUUCUCUUUGCUCUGUAGUCUGUACUGCGGUUUGUGGUGGUGGUGCUGGUGGGCGGCUGGUGGUGAUGGAGCACACCUCCAAGAAGAAGGCUUUGCUCGUCCUCUUCGCGUUCUCCUGCAUCCUCCUCCUUCCUCUGGCUUCCUCUGCUGCGCCUCUGUCCAGAAGCAUGUCCUUGGCGAACCACCGGCUCCCGGACCCUGCCGAUGUGGAGGUCCCUCUUCAGGGUGCGGAGCGAAACCUCGGCGAGGUGGCAGCGAGGAUGGAGAUCGAGGUCAACGACUACCCUGGGUCCGGCGCCAACAACCGCCACGAACCCAGGAGCCCCGGGAGAGCUUGAAGAAACCUCUGCGUCGGCGUGGGGAAGAAGAAGAAGAAGGUAGUUAGAGAGAGCAUGGUGUUUUGAGGGUUUCGAUCGGUAGGAGUACUGCUAGCUAGCUAUAAACUGUAGAGGUUAACGAGUCUUGUCCGGUAGUUUCGCCGUCUCGUCUCAGUGGCGAUGGAUCGAGCCUUGAGCUAGCUAGCGUAUUAUGGCCGGGUCCUCGCCGGCGUCGAUCGCCGUCCACUGUCAGGUCGAUCGAGUAGUGGGCAGAGCUAGUCGAUCUCUCUGCCUGCACCUCUCGAUCUCGACUGAAGAGAAAGAAGUUUUCUAGUCUUUCUACGUGUGGAAGUGUAUAAGCAUGUGUUAAUGUAAGUCUCAAGCCGGUGUCUGUGAUGACUCUGUUUGGCAGCGUAUAGUACAUCUUUGUUUUCGCGCUA
Panicum virgatum (switchgrass) is the source of this 945-nucleotide long non-coding RNA. RefSeq lists it as uncharacterized. The record is from RefSeq and is a predicted model, not a curated record. NCBI's taxonomy places the organism in Eukaryota, Viridiplantae, Streptophyta, Magnoliopsida, Poales, Poaceae. The transcript has 3 exons.